This 253-nucleotide ribosomal RNA is filed under the name uncultured bacterium. RNAcentral describes it as "partial 16S ribosomal RNA". It matches the Rfam family "Bacterial small subunit ribosomal RNA", at positions 524 to 776 of the family's 1533-position model. The record is from RNAcentral.
UACGUAGGGUGCAAGCGUUGUCCGGAUUUAUUGGGUUUAAAGGGUGCGUAGGCGGGCUAUUAAGUCAGUGGUGAAAUCCAGCAGCUUAACUGUUGAUGUGCCAUUGAUACUGGUAGCCUUGAGUACAGAUGAGGUAGGCGGAAUUGACAGUGUAGCGGUGAAAUGCAUAGAUAUUGUCAAGAACUCCGAUAGCGAAGGCAGCUUACUGGGCUGUAACUGACGCUGAUGCACGAAAGUGUGGGGAUCAAACAGG